Salvia splendens (bonfire salvia) is the source of this 1430-nucleotide long non-coding RNA. RefSeq lists it as uncharacterized. The transcript has 2 exons. NCBI's taxonomy places the organism in Eukaryota, Viridiplantae, Streptophyta, Magnoliopsida, Lamiales, Lamiaceae. The record is from RefSeq and is a predicted model, not a curated record.
UUUAUUUCAAAUAAGUUUAAGUUAAGAAGUUACUUCUUAUUUUAUUUAUCUUAAAUUACUAAUCCGAGGUAAAAGGAGAACAUGUAGCUGGAAUCAAGGUAGAUUUUAAGCGGAAAUCAGAGACGAAAAUAUCUAUCAAGAAAUUUUCAUCCCGAUCUGCAAGCCAUGUUUGGACAGGGAAAUAGAUUAUUGAAGCAUUCGAGGGGAACUAAAAAGAUUGAGUCUCCAGUUUUCUUUGCAUUGCUGAUUUUGGUGAUAGUUGCAUUGGUGCUUUUCUUUGGAAAAAAUGGUGAUAAGUCCGAUUUGAUGAUGCCUGAUCUUGAUAGCCAAAAAUGGGAUAGCUUUGACUAAUUGGGUCGAUUAAAUCCAACUGUGGAAUCGAGGAAUGGGACUGAUUUAAUCUGGCAGAUUCCUGACUCACCGAAGGGCGUUGUCUUCUUGGCUCAUGGAUGCAGCGGUAGAGCAGCUAAUUUUUGGGAUAAGUCGCCUAAGUGCCCGAAUUGUGUCGGUUUACCUGAAGAGAGGCUCAUUGUGCUUCAUGCUCUGGCUAGAAAAUUUGCUGUGUUUGCCAUAUUGAGCAAAGGUGUAUGCUGGUCGCUAGGGGAGGAGCGGGGGAUCGUUAAAAGUAUGAUCCGGUGGUGGAUAUCUGAGCAAAUGUUAGACAAGCUGCCUGUAUAUGCAAUGGGUGCCUCCUCUGGUGGAUACUUUGUCUCUGCUCUCGCCACCGAGUUUCAGUUUCAAGCUAUUGCCGUGAUGAUCGCUGGAGGGGUGUAUAGUCAUUUGGAUAUAACAAAGAAGUAUCCAGCUACACUCUUUGUGCACAUGCCCAAAGAUGAAAAACGAAACCGGAAAAUAGAGAAGUAUCUAGUAGUGAUGAGGGUAUUGAUAUUGCAGAAGUGAAAUGCAUGGAAUUCCCUUUGACACCUCAGUUUUGUUCCAACAGAAUUCCAGGUCUCAGUCGAAAUUUGUCAGUGAAGUUAAUUAAUGUUUUCCAGGAUAAGGGCUUUAUUGACGAGAACGGUUACAUGAGGGAUGAUGGGCGUGUGAUACCGUGGAAAACAGCAAUUGAGGAGAGAAACGUUUUUCUCCCAAAGAAGUCACUGGUCAAUCAUAUUCAGGAAGAAAUGAAUCUUGCAUUUGCUUAUCAUGAAAUGACUAGCUUGCAAUCUCAGGAAAUCCUUGACUGGUUUGAAUCUCAUAAGAAAUGAAGAGCAACUCAAAGCUUGCAAGUGCAAUGCAUAAAUCUGGCAGAUUUGAUCGGUCUACCAAUUUUGUUUAGUUGUGCAAGCCGGAGUUUUACCCAGUUUAGUACGAAGCUUUGCAUAUCGUAUCUUAUACUAUAUGGUUGGAUGAGAGUCUUCCAACAUCAGGCACUAUAUGUAAUUGUCUGCUGUCAAUGAAUCAUCCAAUAUAAUUAGUUGCUUCAUAAA